Molecule: unclassified non-coding RNA, 304 nt
Filed under: uncultured fungus
Lineage: Eukaryota; Fungi
Description: partial contains 5.8S ribosomal RNA and internal transcribed spacer 2
Rfam family: 5.8S ribosomal RNA (bases 1-133)
Source: RNAcentral
UGGUUCUGGCAUNGAUGAAGAACGCAGCGAAAUGCGAUAAGUAAUGUGAAUUGCAGAAUUCAGUGAAUCAUCGAAUCUUUGAACGCACAUUGCACCUUUUGGUAUUCCGAAAGGUAUAUUUGUUCGAGCGUCAUUUUAAUAUCAAGUAAUACUUGGAUUUGGACUUUAUCUUAAGGAUAUGUCUUAAAUAUAUUUGGUUGCUUUUAUUUAGCCACAAGUAGCAAUGUUUCUUGAAGGUUAAAAUAAAGUUUCCCCAUAACAAAAUUAAAAGUUUGACCUCGGAUCAAAUAAGAUUACCCGCUGA